This 254-nucleotide ribosomal RNA is filed under the name Actinomarinicola sp. Its description in RNAcentral is "partial 16S ribosomal RNA". It matches the Rfam family "Bacterial small subunit ribosomal RNA", at positions 524 to 776 of the family's 1533-position model. Lineage: Bacteria; Bacillati; Actinomycetota; Acidimicrobiia; Acidimicrobiales; Iamiaceae. RNAcentral also lists the same sequence under 1 other name. The record is from RNAcentral.
UACGUAGGGGGCGAGCGUUGUCCGGAUUUAUUGGGCGUAAAGAGCUCGUAGGCGGUUGGGUAAGUCGGGUGUGAAAACUCAGGGCUCAACUCUGAGACGCCACUCGAUACUGCUCUGACUCGAGUCCGGUAGGGGAGCGUGGAAUUCCCGGUGUAGCGGUGAAAUGCGCAGAUAUCGGGAGGAACACCAGUGGCGAAGGCGGCGCUCUGGGCCGGAACUGACGCUGAGGAGCGAAAGCGUGGGUAGCAAACAGG